CUUAUUAAAAGGACUUGUUUCCAAACGGAGAGAGAAAUACCUUCCAUUUGGAAGAAAUGAGCCCUUCAUUUCAGUCCUACCAGCAAGUCAGCAGUACAUGGGGCAUUCUGGCCGCAUCAGGACGCAUUUGACAAUGUCUGGUCCAAUUCUUGUCCAGAAACCACUGAUGGCUGUACCAGUAAGGCUGCUGCAUUCUUCCCAUGGGUCUACUGUGCAACCAAAAGAAUAUUGGGGAAAUGAUGGUAUGUCUUCCCAGAUCAAGACAUAAAAGGCAUUCUACCAUCUUGCCCUUGCACUCUCGGGGAAGCCAGCCACAUUGCCAAUUAAUACUGGAUAUACCCAAUGGAGAAGACCAUGAAGUGAGGGUCUAAGGACUCCUGACCACAGUCAACAUUCAUCUGAGUCCUAAAAGAGACUCCUUGUUCCAGUCCCUCCAGCCUGAGUCUCCUCUUUAGUGAUUGUAACCUCGGAUGCCAUCUUGACUGCAACAACCAGCCAGAACCACCCAGCUAGGCCAUUCCCAGAUCCCUGGCCCAGAGAAGCUGUGUGAGAUAAUGCUCAGGAUAUUCUGAAUAGAAACAUCAGUUUGGAGGUGUCUGAAUUAUCCAACAAACAUUUCUGGAGGGUUACAGGAAAGCGGGCAAAUCCUCAGCCCUCGGACCAGACAUUGGUUAUAUGGCCGUUGGGAGGCAAAUGGCUUACGCUAAAGUAAACCAUAUUUGGUAAUUAAGAUGUUGUGCAUGGACCCCGACUGCUUAUCUCUUCGGAAACAUCCUACUAAGAAAGAUCAGAAAAAUCACAGAGCUGAGCUGUCAAAAGCUAUGUGUGGACUGGGAGGGAGGACAGAGGGGAGCACGGUGAGAGGGACCUGGGCCUUGAACAAGGUAUAAAUGAUCCCCAUGUCGUCUUGGAAGAAUAAGUAAACAGCCUUUUCCAGAAUGGCAGCAGCCCGAUGAAUGGAGAUAUGCUCUUAUUUCUUCAUGUGAAUUGAAAAAGACUUCCAUUGAUCAGCAACCUACUGGGUUCUCCUAUAUCCUGCCCACCCUGUUGCACCUUACAAGCCUACAGCUGUCUGGGGCUUAAUUAUGCAUGCACGCCUGCCAAGCCCAGAGGCCAGGGGGGCCUCAGCAGACCACACUUUCUCACUUGUUUCUGUGGUCAUUAUGACUGGGGCAGAUCUCUACUUCUGAACCCAUUUUGCAGCUUUUCUUCCAGAUGGUUGGGAGCUUAAAAAAAGAAGAAGAAGAAGAAGAAGAUGAAGACGAAGAAGAAGAGCAAACAAGAAUAGUUAACCAGAUGCCGGCAUCUGGGUGGAAACAAAGCAAGCUUAGAGCCAGGCAUGUACAAUGAAAAGGAGUAGCAGGCAGCGGAGCUUCCCCCCUGCUGAAAGAAGGAAAGGGAGACUACGGAAAGCAGAUUUGUUAAGGAUGCACAUCAGAGCCUUCGGGGAAAGCUUUUCCAGCCUACCUGAAGGAUCUCAGUCUUUGAAGAACAAAGCCUCAGGUGAAAGCAUGGAGCUAGGCAAGGCACCGCGCUAAAAAUAACCGAAUUAGUGUUACUCUGAGUUGCCCUUCAUCAAGAGAUGGGCCCACAGAGUAACCAGCUCCUACAGAAUGGCAGGUGCUGCUUGUACCUACAAGGGAGGAAUGGUCAGAGACACCGACACUGUUUUGUAAAUGGAACACAAAAUUAAACGCCCAGGUUGAUCUCAUCGAAAAUCACGGGCUAUUCUGGGCUCUUAAAGCUUUAAAAAAAAAAAAAAUUUAUAGAAAUGUACGGAAACUUCAGAAGUAAGCAGGAAUCCAUGAUGGGAUGAUUUACUGUGACAAUUUUAAGACAUAAAAAUCUCAGGACGCCUGGAUGGCUCAGUUGCUUGAGUGUCUGGCUCUUGGUUUUGGCUCAGCUCAUCAUCUCAGGGUCCUGGGAUGGAGCCCUGGGUCAGGCUCCACUCUCAGCAGAGACACUGCUUGAGAGUCUCUCUCGCACCCCUCCUACUCACGGGCACACGUGCACACUCACUCACUCUCGCUCUCAAAUAAAUAAAUCUUUAAAAAAUA
This is a long non-coding RNA of Mustela lutreola (European mink), 2057 nucleotides long. RefSeq lists it as uncharacterized. The record is from RefSeq and is a predicted model, not a curated record. Lineage: Eukaryota; Metazoa; Chordata; Mammalia; Carnivora; Mustelidae. The transcript is spliced from 6 exons.